RNAcentral lists this ribosomal RNA (253 nucleotides) under uncultured bacterium. RNAcentral describes it as "partial 16S ribosomal RNA". It matches the Rfam family "Bacterial small subunit ribosomal RNA", at positions 524 to 776 of the family's 1533-position model. The record is from RNAcentral.
UACAGAGGGGGCAAGCGUUGUUCGGAAUUACUGGGCGUAAAGCGUGCGCAGGCGGUGAUGUAAGACCGAUGUGAAAUCCCCGGGCUUAACCUGGGAACUGCAUUGGUGACUGCAUCGCUCGAGUAUGGCAGAGGGGGGUAGAAUUCCACGUGUAGCAGUGAAAUGCGUAGAGAUGUGGAGGAAUACCGAUGGCGAAGGCAGCCCCCUGGGUCAAUACUGACGCUCAUGCACGAAAGCGUGGGGAGCAAACAGG